This 292-nucleotide ribosomal RNA is filed under the name uncultured bacterium. RNAcentral describes it as "partial 16S ribosomal RNA". It matches the Rfam family "Bacterial small subunit ribosomal RNA", at positions 505 to 796 of the family's 1533-position model. The record is from RNAcentral.
GUGCCAGCCGCCGCGGUAAUACGUAGGGUGCGAGCGUUAAUCGGAAUUACUGGGCGUAAAGCGUGCGCAGGCGGUUGUGCAAGACAGGUGUGAAAUCCCCGGGCUUAACCUGGGAACUGCACUUGUGACUGCACGGCUGGAGUACGGCAGAGGGGGAUGGAAUUCCGCGUGUAGCAGUGAAAUGCGUAGAUAUGCGGAGGAACACCGAUGGCGAAGGCAGUCCCCUGGGCCUGUACUGACGCUCAUGCACGAAAGCGUGGGGAGCAAACAGGAUUAGAAACCCCAGUAGUCC